Molecule: ribosomal RNA, 497 nt
Filed under: uncultured bacterium
Lineage: Bacteria
Description: partial 16S ribosomal RNA
Rfam family: Bacterial small subunit ribosomal RNA
Source: RNAcentral
GAUGAACGCUGGCGGCGUGCCUAAUACAUGCAAGUCGAGCGAACGGACGAGAAGCUUGCUUUUCUGAUGUUAGCGGCGGACGGGUGAGUAACACGUGGAUAACCUACCUAUAAGACUGGGAUAACUUCGGGAAACCGGAGCUAAUACCGGAUAAUAUUUUGAACCGCAUGGUUCAAAAGUGAAAGACGGUCUUGCUGUCACUUAUAGAUGGAUCCGCGCUGCAUUAGCUAGUUGGUAAGGUAAAGGCUUACCAAGGCAACGAUGCAUAGCCGACCUGAGAGGGUGAUCCGCCACAUCGGGACUGAGACACGGCCCCAACCCCUAAGGGAGGCAGCAGUAGGGAAUCCUCCGCAAUGGGCGAAAGCCUGACGGAGCAACGCCGCGUGAGUGAUGAAGGUCUUCGGAUCGUAAAACUCUGUUAUUAGGGAAGAACAUAUGUGUAAGUAACUGUGCACAUCUUGACGGUACCUAAUCAGAAAGCCACGGCUAACUACGUG